RNAcentral lists this unclassified non-coding RNA (315 nucleotides) under uncultured fungus. RNAcentral's name for it is "partial contains small subunit ribosomal RNA, internal transcribed spacer 1, and 5.8S ribosomal RNA". The stretch from base 1 to 73 matches the Rfam family "Eukaryotic small subunit ribosomal RNA", at positions 1759 to 1831 of the family's 1831-position model. The record is from RNAcentral. Lineage: Eukaryota; Fungi.
GCAAACUUGGUCAUUUAGAGGAAGUAAAAGUCGUAACAAGGUUUCCGUAGGUGAACCUGCGGAAGGAUCAUUAGCGAACAACUUGGCAAGGCUGUUGCUGGCUUUUAGAAGCAUGUGCACGCCUGUCGUCAGUUUUCCACACCCCAUGUGCACCGUCUGUAGGCUUGGAAAGGGUGCUUAUGUGCUCCUCCGGUCUAUGUUUUUACUAUCACACUCAGUAUGUAUAGAAUGUAUCAUGGGCCUUUGAGCCUAUAAACUAUCAAUACAACUUUCAACAACGGAUCUCUUGGCUCUCGCAUCGAUGAAGAACGCAGC